UCGAACGAGAGAAGAGAAGCUUGCUUUUCUGAUCUAGUGGCGGACGGCUGAGUAACACGUGAGCAAUCUGCCUUUCAGAGGGGGAUACCGAUUGGAAACGAUCGUUAAUACCGCAUAACAUAAUUGAACCGCAUGAUUUGAUUAUCAAAGAUUUAUCGCUGAAAGAUGAGCUCGCGUCUGAUUAGCUAGUUGGUAAGGUAACGGCUUACCAAGGCGACGAUCAGUAGCCGGACUGAGAGGUUGAUCGGCCACAUUGGGACUGAGACACGGCCCAGACUCCUACGGGAGGCAGCAGUGGGGAAUAUUGCACAAUGGAGGAAACUCUGAUGCAGCGAUGCCGCGUGAGGGAAGAAGGUUUUAGGAUUGUAAACCUCUGUCUUCAGGGACGAAAAAAGACGGUACCUGAGGAGGAAGCUCCGGCUAACUACGUGCCAGCAGCCGCGGUAAUACGUAGGGAGCGAGCGUUGUCCGGAAUUACUGGGUGUAAAGGGAGCGUAGGCGGGAUCGCAAGUCAGAUGUGAAAACUAUGGGCUUAACCCAUAAACUGCAUUUGAAACUGUGGUUCUUGAGUGAAGUAGAGGUAAGCGGAAUUCCUAGUGUAGCGGUGAAAUGCGUAGAUAUUAGGAGGAACAUCAGUGGCGAAGGCGGCUUACUGGGCUUUAACUGACGCUGAGGCUCGAAAGCGUGGGGAGCAAACAGGAUUAGAUACCCUGGUAGUCCACGCCGUAAACGAUGAUUACUAGGUGUGGGGGGACUGA
This 758-nucleotide ribosomal RNA is filed under the name uncultured bacterium. Its description in RNAcentral is "bacterial SSU rRNA". It matches the Rfam family "Bacterial small subunit ribosomal RNA", at positions 62 to 834 of the family's 1533-position model. The record is from RNAcentral.